This is a microRNA precursor of Bison bison bison, 61 nucleotides long. The record is from Ensembl. Lineage: Eukaryota; Metazoa; Chordata; Mammalia; Artiodactyla; Bovidae.
CUGCCCAUGAUGACUGCUGACCUCGGUCUCUGCAGGGACCAGAAGCGAGGUUCAGAGGUAG